GAUGAACGCUGACAGAAUGCUUAACACAUGCAAGUCUACUUGAAUUUGGGUUUUUAACUUAGGUUUGGGUGGCGGACGGGUGAGUAACGCGUAAAGAACUUGCCUCACAGCUAGGGACAACAUUUAGAAAUGAAUGCUAAUACCUAAUAUUAUGAUAAUAGGGCAUCCUAUAAUUAUGAGAGCUAUAUGCGCUGUGAGAGAGCUUUGCGUCCCAUUAGCUAGUUGGAGAGGUAACGGCUCACCAAGGCGAUGAUGGGUAGCCGGCCUGAGAGGGUGAUCGGCCACAAGGGGACUGAGACACGGCCCUUACUCCUACGGGAGGCAGCAGUGGGGAAUAUUGGACAAUGGACCGAGAGUCUGAUCCAGCAAUUCUGUGUGCACGAUGAAGUUUUUCAGAAUGUAAAGUGCUUUCAGUUGGGAAGAAAGAAAUGACGGUACCAACAGAAGAAGUGACGGCUAAAUACGUGCCAGCAGCCGCGGUAAUACGUAUGUCACGAGCGUUAUCCGGAUUUAUUGGGCGUAAAGCGCGUCUAGGUGGUUAUGUAAGUCUGAUGUGAAAAUGCAGGGCUCCACUCUGUAGUGCGUUGGAAACUGUGUGACUACAGUACUGGAGAGCUAAGCGGAACUACCAGGGUGUGGGUGAAAUCUAGAUCUCUGCCCGAAUGGCCAAGGAGA
RNAcentral lists this ribosomal RNA (675 nucleotides) under uncultured Fusobacterium sp. RNAcentral's name for it is "bacterial SSU rRNA". It matches the Rfam family "Bacterial small subunit ribosomal RNA", at positions 28 to 718 of the family's 1533-position model. The record is from RNAcentral. Lineage: Bacteria; Fusobacteriati; Fusobacteriota; Fusobacteriia; Fusobacteriales; Fusobacteriaceae.